GGGGCGGAACCCGAAAAGCCUUACGAGUAGGGA
RNAcentral lists this non-coding RNA (33 nucleotides) under unclassified sequences. The record is from RNAcentral.